RNAcentral lists this ribosomal RNA (497 nucleotides) under uncultured bacterium. Its description in RNAcentral is "partial 16S ribosomal RNA". It matches the Rfam family "Bacterial small subunit ribosomal RNA", at positions 28 to 507 of the family's 1533-position model. The record is from RNAcentral.
GAUGAACGCUGGCGGCGUGCCUAAUACAUGCCAGUCGAGCGAACGGACGAGAAGCUUGCUUCUCUGAUGUUAGCGGCGGACGGGUGAGUAACACGUGGAUAACCUACCUAUAAGACUGGGAUAACUUCGGGAAACCGGAGCUAAUACCGGAUAAUAUUUUGAACCGCAUGGUUCAAAAGUGAAAGACGGUCUUGCUGUCACUUAUAGAUGGAUCCGCGCUGCAUUAGCUAGUUGGUAAGGUAACGGCUUACCAAGGCAACGAUGCAUAGCCGACCUGAGAGGGUGAUAGGCGACACUGGAGCUGAGACACGGUCAAGACGCCUGCGGGAGGCAGCAGUAGGGAAUCUGACGCAAUGGGCGAGAACAUGACGGAGCGACGCCGAGUGAGUGAUGGCGGUCUUCGGAUCGUAAAACUCUGUUAUGAGGGAAGAACAGAUGUGUAAGUAACUGUGCCCAUCUUGACGGUACCUGAUCAGAAAGCAACGGCUAACUACGUG